Long non-coding RNA from Sorghum bicolor (sorghum), 683 nucleotides. RefSeq lists it as uncharacterized. The transcript has 3 exons. Lineage: Eukaryota; Viridiplantae; Streptophyta; Magnoliopsida; Poales; Poaceae. The record is from RefSeq and is a predicted model, not a curated record.
CCGGUCCUACCGCCGGCUGGCCGUCUUUUCCAGGCUUACCGUCCUCCACUUUAAUCGUGAAGACGUUCUUCGGAUUUGCCUCCAUCUCUCACCCUCAGGGUGGCACUGACCAGAGCCCUAAACGUCCAGAACUCAAGUUUUGUCUCGUACAGUGAAGGAGAAGAUAGCGGUCCACAAGGGCGAUCUGGAGAUAUGGCUGCUACUGGCGAUUGGUGCCCUCUCAGCAUCGACGUGCCUUUGUGGUCGGAAGUUUGGCAUCAACCCGAAAUUUGGGUUAAGUUGAUCUGACAUUGGUCUGGGAUCUGACAGAGAUCCUGUCCAACUCGGGGGAAAAAAAGAUGGCUGAGCGUGUAACGCUGCCGGUGCAACUAUCGUGCCUUCCUAUUUCAUGGUGAAAGGAUUUGUCACGACGGCCUAUUAAAUACUAGUGUGUCUAGUAAGACUUAGUAGUAUAAGUCUGGAUUAACCAAUUGCCCAACUUGACUUGUCUAGUCAUUGACUGAAUCCUGUUAUCCUUUCGGUUAAGAUUCUGAAUUUAAACUUGGAAACUGAUAUAUGGUAAAUGGUUCCACCGGUUCACCUACCCAACUAGGUCAUCUGCAAGAAAAAAAAAAGAAAUCAACUGAGCUGUAUUUGAGCAAUUAAAAUUUGUCUUGCUGUUAGCAAUUCUUCUUUUUUUUUUA